AGGAUGAACGCUGGCGGCGUGCCUAACACAUGCAAGUCGAACGUCCUGUCUCGCAAGAGGCAGGGAGUGGCGGACGGGUGAGUACCACGUGGGUCAUCUACCGUGAGGUGAGGAAUACCGGCGAGAAAUCGCCGACAAGACCGCAUAGGCUCGAUGCAAGUCGAGCAAAGCUCUUUCGAGAGAGGGAGCGCCACACGAGGAGCCUGCGCCCGAUUAGCUAGCUGGUGGAGUAACGGUUCACCAGGGCGACGAUCGGUAGCUGGUCUGAGAGGACGAUCAGCCACACUGGGAUUGAGAACGGCCCAGACUCCUACGGGGGGCAGCAGUGAGGAAUUUUCGUCAAUGGGGGCAACCCUGAACGAGCAACGCCGCGUGCAGGAAGAGGUUUCGGAUCGUAAACUGCUUUUCUCGGGAAGAGAACGGACGGUACCCGAGGAAUCGAGCCCCGGCUAACUACGUGCCAGCAGCCGC
RNAcentral lists this ribosomal RNA (471 nucleotides) under uncultured bacterium. Its description in RNAcentral is "SSU rRNA". It matches the Rfam family "Bacterial small subunit ribosomal RNA", at positions 26 to 518 of the family's 1533-position model. The record is from RNAcentral.